RNAcentral lists this long non-coding RNA (1474 nucleotides) under Apteryx rowi (Okarito brown kiwi). RNAcentral's name for it is "lncRNA (ENSARWG00000010040.1)". The record is from RNAcentral. Lineage: Eukaryota; Metazoa; Chordata; Aves; Apterygiformes; Apterygidae.
UUCAUUCCUACUGUAUGGACUUGGAAGGAAACCCCGAGAAAAUUUGUGCCUUUUUAAGAUGCUUGAGCCUUAAGUGCUAUUUAUGAAGAAUGUAACCACUUUCACAACUCCUUCAAGACUUCAGGAGUUGUCGCAAUCUGAUACGUGUCCUCAAAACCUGCCUAAUACAUGCAGUUUUCUGUUAAAAAAAUGACUCUAGUGAUGAGAGUGCCCAUCUGAGCUGUGGUGACCCACAUUCGAUAGAGACCUCUGCCAGAAGGUGUUCCAGCUUCCUUCUAGAAUACUGCCACAAGCGUCGGGGUACAGAGGUAUUUUGAGGUGGCAGGUAUGAUACAGGACAUAAUGAUCAGCACCACAACUGCUUCACUUCCAUAUUUAAGGUUUGGCCAGAAUAAACGGUGAGCAGCCUGAGGGGAGAAUAAACCAAAUGAUAUAGUUCUGGCAGAGACUCCUCCUACGCUUAUAGACUCCAGGGACAAGGUUAGGUUCGUUCUGGGAACGCAGUCAUUACAGAUAUCCCUACAUGAGUUUAUAAGCACCAGAAGUCAAAUUCAGAGGAYUUAGAAGUUAUACAGUUGUCUGUUUAGUAUUUCCUACCAUUAGAAGUCUAAAGGAUAGGUAAAGCAUAGGUAUCACAACAGCUUCAGAGGAUAACUGACCACAGAUGAUAACAUAAAUCACAGGAACCACAUGGCAGUAUGGGGUAAGCUGGUACAUGUAGACGCUGUACUGUGGAGGUGGAAAGGAGUAAAUACAAGUUUAGCCUGAUGUAGGAGCCUGGAUUUACCAACACAGGUUCUUCAGCAACCCUAUUUUUCAAAUACUAAUUUUCUUGAGGUACAAUAUUUGAGGUUUCCAAUUUUCUCUCUAGCUUAGUCUACCUUUUUAUUUUGCUCUAGGAAUUUCUGAGUUUGAAGAAAAAAAGAGGCUGGCAGUGGAGAAUGGAAGACCCAGUCUACACCACACUGAGCUCUCUGAGGAGAUACCUAAAGCUUAGGCUGCAGAGCACCAAUUGCGGUAGCGUAAGUGACUGUGGAAACCUGUCUACUAUGGCUGGACUACCUCCACCACCCCUUUCACAAGGGCUAAUUAGCAGCCAUCGGAUUAAUUUGACUGUAAUUUAUUAGCCUCGACUAGUUCUAAGCCAAUGGCCUACACGUGAAAAAUAGUAAAUCAAGGAAGUAACCAUUUGUUGACAUUCCUGUCCGUUAGGAAYGGACAUCAGCCGUUAUCCUGAUGGUAACAUGCCUCUUUGUCAUAUGUACUUAAACCAGCGCAGGUUAGAAUAUUCAGUUCAGAUUGUUACAAAUGCCUUUAUCCAUUCCCAUUGACAUUUUAAACAAACGGUGAUAUAUUUAGUACAAUAAUUACAGUUAUUUGAUUACCUUUCUUUUAGCCUGAAGUAGAAGGCAACUGACAGAUGUGAAUACCUCUGAGACCAAUACUCUGUAAUAAACUAACAUUAUUUAUUACA